RNAcentral lists this ribosomal RNA (379 nucleotides) under Cutibacterium acnes. RNAcentral's name for it is "bacterial SSU rRNA". It matches the Rfam family "Bacterial small subunit ribosomal RNA", at positions 41 to 398 of the family's 1533-position model. Lineage: Bacteria; Bacillati; Actinomycetota; Actinomycetes; Propionibacteriales; Propionibacteriaceae. The record is from RNAcentral.
GACGAACGCGGCGGCGUGCUUAACACAUGCAAGUCGAACGGAAAGGCCCUGCUUUUGUGGGGUGCUCGAGUGGCGAACGGGUGAGUAACACGUGAGUAACCUGCCCUUGACUUUGGGAUAACUUCAGGAAACUGGGGCUAAUACCGGAUAGGAGCUCCUGCUGCAUGGUGGGGGUUGGAAAGUUUCGGCGGUUGGGGAUGGACUCGCGGCUUAUCAGCUUGUUGGUGGGGUAGUGGCUUACCAAGGCUUUGACGGGUAGCCGGCCUGAGAGGGUGACCGGCCACAUUGGGACUGAGAUACGGCCCAGACUCCUACGGGAGGCAGCAGUGGGGAAUAUUUGCACAAAUGGGGCGGAAAGCCCUGAUGCAGCAAACGCCCG